UACAGAGGGGGCAAGCGUUGUUCGGAAUUACUGGGCGUAAAGGGCGCGUAGGCGGCCUUCUAAGUCAUGCGUGAAAUCCCCGGGCUCAACCCGGGAACUGCGUUUGAUACUGGAGGGCUUGAAUCCGGGAGAGGGAUGCGGAAUUCCAGGUGUAGCGGUGAAAUGCGUAGAUAUCUGGAGGAACACCGGUGGCGAAGGCGGCAUCCUGGACCGAGAUUGACGCUGAUGCGCGAAAGCCAGGGGAGCAAACGGG
RNAcentral lists this ribosomal RNA (253 nucleotides) under uncultured bacterium. RNAcentral describes it as "partial 16S ribosomal RNA". It matches the Rfam family "Bacterial small subunit ribosomal RNA", at positions 524 to 776 of the family's 1533-position model. The record is from RNAcentral.